UGGUGGCGAGUGGCGAACGGGUGAGUAAUGUAUCGGAACGUGCCCAGUUGUGGGGGAUAACUACUUGAAAGAGUGGCUAAUACCGCAUACGACCUGAGGGUGAAAGCGGGGGAUCGCAAGGCCUCGCGCAAUUGGAGCGGCCGAUAUCAGAUUAGCUAGUUGGCGGGGUAAAAGCCCACCAAGGCGACGAUCUGUAGCUGGUCUGAGAGGACGACCAGCCACACUGGGACUGAGACACGGCCCAGACUCCUACGGGAGGCAGCAGUGGGGAAUUUUGGACAAUGGGCGCAAGCCUGAUCCAGCCAUGCCGCGUGAGUGAAGAAGGCCUUCGGGUUGUAAAGCUCUUUCGGCCGGGAAGAAAUCGCAUGGGUUAAUACCCUGUGCGGAUGACGGUACCGGCAUAAGAAGCACCGGCUAACUACGUGCCAGCAGCCGCGGUAAUACGUAGGGUGCGAGCGUUAAUCGGAAUUACUGGGCGUAAAGCGUGCGCAGGCGGUUUUGUAAGACAGGCGUGAAAUCCCCGGGCUCAACCUGGGAACUGCGCUUGUGACUGCAAGGCUAGAGUACGGCAGAGGGGGGUGGAAUUCCACGUGUAGCAGUGAAAUGCGUAGAGAUGUGGAGGAACACCAAUGGCGAAGGCAGCCCCCUGGGUCGAUACUGACGCUCAUGCACGAAAGCGUGGGUAGCAAACAGGAUUAGAUACCCUGGUAGUCCACGCCCUAAACGAUGUCAACUAGGUGUUGGGUGGGGUAAAACCAUUUAGUACCGGAGCUAACGCGU
RNAcentral lists this ribosomal RNA (780 nucleotides) under uncultured bacterium. Its description in RNAcentral is "bacterial SSU rRNA". It matches the Rfam family "Bacterial small subunit ribosomal RNA", at positions 86 to 860 of the family's 1533-position model. The record is from RNAcentral.